Molecule: unclassified non-coding RNA, 389 nt
Filed under: Hevea brasiliensis (rubber tree)
Lineage: Eukaryota; Viridiplantae; Streptophyta; Magnoliopsida; Malpighiales; Euphorbiaceae
Source: RNAcentral
GCACAAUCUUCUUCCUCGAUCUUCUUCAUUCUCUUGCUCUCAGGAAUGGAAUCACAGAUCAAACAUGCUGUGGUGGUGAAAGUAAUGGGUAGAACUGGAUCAAGAGGGCAGGUGACUCAAGUGAGAGUCAAGUUUCUUGAUGAUCAGAAUCGUUACAUUAUGAGGAAUGUCAAGGGACCAGUCAGGGAAGGCGAUAUUCUUACACUACUCGAGUCCGAGAGGGAGGCUAGAAGGUUGCGUUGAUGCAAAAUUUUCUGUUGGUGCCAUCAUAUUUUUCCUUCUUUAAGUGUGGAUUUUAGUGACUAGUUUGUUUCAAGACAUUUGAUUCUGUGGCUGAAUUUAGAACAAGAUGAGGUAAUUUAACUGAGUUUUGAAAAAUUGUGGAUUUU